GUUAGAAAAAAAGAAAGAUAGAUUAGUUAGAAAGAAAGAUAGAUAGAUUUGUUAGAAUGAAAGAAAGAUAGAUUAGUUAGAAAGAAAGAUAGAUAGAUUAGUUAGAAAGAAAGAACGAUAGAUUAGUUAGAAAGAAAGAUGGAUAGAUUAGUUAGAAAGAAAGAUAGAUUAAUUAGUUAGAAAGAAAGAUAGAUAGAUUAGUUAGAAAGAAAGAACGAUAGAUUAGUUAGAAAGAAAGAUGGAUAGAUUAGUUAGAAAAAAAGAUAGA
Long non-coding RNA from Rhinichthys klamathensis goyatoka, 268 nucleotides. RefSeq lists it as uncharacterized. The record is from RefSeq and is a predicted model, not a curated record. Lineage: Eukaryota; Metazoa; Chordata; Actinopteri; Cypriniformes; Leuciscidae. The transcript is spliced from 2 exons.